CGAUGGUACGCGAGGAACCUUACCAGGGCUUGACAUACGUUGGAAGCGCAUCGAAAGGUGCGUGCCGCUUGCGGCCGGCGUACAGGUGCUGCAUGGCUGUCGUCAGCUCGUGCUGUGAAGUGUUGGGUUAAGUCCCGCAACGAGCGCAACCCCUGCUGCCUGUUGCCACCACGAGAGGUGGGGACUCAGGCGGGACCGCCGGUGACAAACCGGAGGAAGUGGGGACGACGUCAAGUCAUCAUGGCCCUUAUGUCCUGGGCUACACACGUGCUACAAUGGCCGGUACAGAGCGCAGCGAGGCCGCGAGGCGGAGCGAAUCGCUUAAAGCCGGUCCCAGUACGGAUUGGAGUCUGCAACCCGACUCCAUGAAGUUGGAAUCGCUAGUAAUCGCGCAUCAGCAUGGCGCGGUGAAUACGUUCCCGGGCCUU
Molecule: ribosomal RNA, 428 nt
Filed under: uncultured Spirochaeta sp.
Lineage: Bacteria; Pseudomonadati; Spirochaetota; Spirochaetia; Spirochaetales; Spirochaetaceae
Description: bacterial SSU rRNA
Rfam family: Bacterial small subunit ribosomal RNA
Source: RNAcentral